GGCUUAAUUUGACUCAACGCGGGAAACCUUACUAGGGUAGGACAAUAGAAUGAUUGACACGAUGCACGUCGUUUCUUAAUUGAUUGGGUGGUGGUGCAUGGCCGAUCUUAGUUGGUGGGGUGACUUGUCUGGUUAAUUUCGAUAACGAACGAGAUCCGAGCCGUUUCGUUGUAUAUCAUAAGAAUUCUUGUGAUGUAUAUCAAAAUGGACCAUCUGCUCAAGCAGAAGGAAGUGACGGGCUAAAUCAGGUCUGUGAUGCCC
Molecule: ribosomal RNA, 261 nt
Filed under: uncultured eukaryote
Lineage: Eukaryota
Description: partial 18S ribosomal RNA
Rfam family: Eukaryotic small subunit ribosomal RNA
Source: RNAcentral